RNAcentral lists this non-coding RNA (232 nucleotides) under Thermoactinomyces sp. Its description in RNAcentral is "T-box sequence". It matches the Rfam family "T-box leader". Rfam says of the family: Uncharged tRNA acts as the effector for transcription antitermination of genes in the T-box leader family. T-boxes are found upstream of many aminoacyl-tRNA synthetase genes and some amino acid biosynthetic genes usually in Gram-positive bacteria. The anticodon of a specific tRNA base pairs to a specifier sequence within the T-box motif, and the NCCA acceptor tail of the tRNA base pairs to a conserved bulge in the T-box antiterminator hairpin. The record is from RNAcentral. Lineage: Bacteria; Bacillati; Bacillota; Bacilli; Caryophanales; Thermoactinomycetaceae.
GGAAAUGCGAAGACGGAGAAGAGUAGACGGAUUAAAGCAGUCAGAGAGAGAAACCCUUGGCUGAAAGGUUUCUUCUGCAUUUAACCGUUGAACGUCGCUCUUGAGCAGGUUGUCUGAAAGGUUGACGAAACCGUGUAAGAUAACCCGGUUCCAGCCGUUAUCUGGUCAGAGUGCACUAAUUUUUUAAUUAGUGAAUAAAGGUGGUACCGCGAAAAGACCUUUCGUCCUUUGU